RNAcentral lists this transfer RNA (74 nucleotides) under Anaerotignum sp. RNAcentral's name for it is "tRNA-Asp". It matches the Rfam family "tRNA". Rfam says of the family: Transfer RNA (tRNA) molecules are approximately 80 nucleotides in length. Their secondary structure includes four short double-helical elements and three loops (D, anti-codon, and T loops). Further hydrogen bonds mediate the characteristic L-shaped molecular structure. tRNAs have two regions of fundamental functional importance: the anti-codon, which is responsible for specific mRNA codon recognition, and the 3' end, to which the tRNAs corresponding amino acid is attached (by aminoacyl-tRNA synthetases). tRNAs cope with the degeneracy of the genetic code in two manners: having more than one tRNA (with a specific anti-codon) for a particular amino acid; and 'wobble' base-pairing, i.e. permitting non-standard base-pairing at the 3rd anti-codon position. The record is from RNAcentral. Lineage: Bacteria; Bacillati; Bacillota; Clostridia; Lachnospirales; Anaerotignaceae. RNAcentral also lists the same sequence under 1 other name.
GGCUCAGUAGCUCAGUUGGUUAGAGCGCCGGCCUGUCACGCCGGAGGUCGAGGGUUCGAGCCCCUGCUGAGUCG